Molecule: ribosomal RNA, 472 nt
Filed under: uncultured bacterium
Lineage: Bacteria
Description: bacterial SSU rRNA
Rfam family: Bacterial small subunit ribosomal RNA
Source: RNAcentral
UGGGGAAUUUUGGACAAUGGGCGCAAGCCUGAUCCAGCCAUACCGCGUGAGUGAAGAAGGCCUUCGGGUUGUAAAGCUCUUUCAGACGGAAAGAAACGGUUACGGCUAAUACCCGUGACUAAUGACGGUACCGUAAGAAGAAGCACCGGCUAACUACGUGCCAGCAGCCGCGGUAAUACGUAGGGUGCGAGCGUUAAUCGGAAUUACUGGGCGUAAAGCGUGCGCAGGCGGUUUGGUAAGACAGAUGUGAAAUCCCCGGGCUUAACCUGGGAACUGCAUUUGUGACUGCCAGACUAGAGUGUAGCAGAGGGGGGUAGAAUUCCGCGUGUAGCAGUGAAAUGCGUAGAUAUGCGGAGGAACACCGAUGGCGAAGGCAAUCCCCUGGACCUGUACUGACGCUCAUGCACGAAAGCGUGGGGAGCAAACAGGAUUAGAUACCCAUGUAGUCCCUGAGCGGGCUGGCAAGGCGCAU